UCUAAGUCAGCGUCUCCUAAAGAGCCCGAACAGCUGCUGAAGCUUUUCAUUGGAGGGUUGAGCUUUGAAACAACUGAUGAGAGCCUGAGGAGCCAUUUUGAGCAAUAGGGAACGCUCACGGACUGUGUAGUAAAGAAAGAUCCAAACACCAAGCACUCCAGGGGCUUUGGGUUUGUCACAUAUGCCGGUAUGGAAAAGGUGGAUACAGCCAUGAAUGCAAGGCCGCACAAGGUGGAUGGAAGAUUUGUGGAACCAAAGACAGCUGUUUCAAGAGAAGAUUCUCAAAGACCAGGUGCCCACUUAACUGUGAUAAAGAUGUUAAAGAAGAACUGAAGAACAUAAACUAAGAGAUUAUAUUGAACAGUAUGGAAAAAUUGAAGUGAUUGAGAUCAUGACUGACCGAGGCAGUGGCAAGAACAGGGGCUUUGCCUUGUAACUUUUGAUGACCAUGACUCCAUGGAAAGGAUUGUCAUUCAGAAAUACCACACUGUGAAUGGCCACAACUGUGACUUUAGGAGUGCUCUGUCAAAGCAAAAGAUGUUUAGUGCUUCAUCCAGCCAAAGAGAUCGAAGUGGUUCUGGAAACUUUGGUGGUGGCGUUGGAGGUGGUUUUGGUGAGAAUGACAACUUCGGUCGUGGAGGAAACUUCAGUGGUUGUGCUGGCUUUGGUGGCAGAAGUGGUGGUGGUAGAUAGGGUGGCAGUGGGAAUGGCUAUAACAGAUUUGAUAAUGAUGGAAGCAAUUUUGGAGGUGGUGGAAGCUACAAUGAUUUUGGCAAUUACAACGAUCGGUCUUCAAAUUUUGGACCCAUAAAGGGAGGAAACUUUGGAGGCAGAAGCUCUGGUCCCUAUGGUGGUGGAAGCCAAUACUUUGCCAAACCAUGAAACCAAGGUGGCUAUGGCAGUUCCGUAGCAGCAGUAGUUACGGCAGUGGUAGAAGAUUUUAA
This 944-nucleotide long non-coding RNA is filed under the name Homo sapiens (human). RNAcentral's name for it is "non-protein coding lnc-ZNF391-4:1". Lineage: Eukaryota; Metazoa; Chordata; Mammalia; Primates; Hominidae. The record is from RNAcentral.